CCUACGGGAGGCAGCAGUGGGGAAUAUUGGACAAUGGGCGAAAGCCUGAUCCAGCCAUGCCGCGUGUGUGAAGAAGGCCUUCGGGUUGUAAAGCACUUUCAGUGGGGAAGAAAGCCUUGGGGCUAAUACCCUCGAGGAAGGACAUCACCCACAGAAGAAGCACCGGCUAACUCCGUGCCAGCAGCCGCGGUAAUACGGAGGGUGCGAGCGUUAAUCGGAAUUACUGGGCGUAAAGCGCGCGUAGGCGGUCUGAUAAGCCGGUUGUGAAAGCCCCGGGCUCAACCUGGGAACGGCAUCCGGAACUGUCAGGCUAGAGUGCAGGAGAGGAAGGUAGAAUUCCCGGUGUAGCGGUGAAAUGCGUAGAGAUCGGGAGGAAUACCAGUGGCGAAGGCGGCCUUCUGGACUGACACUGACGCUGAGGUGCGAAAGCGUGGGUAGCAAACAGGAUUAAUACCGAUAGUC
RNAcentral lists this ribosomal RNA (462 nucleotides) under Vreelandella stevensii. Its description in RNAcentral is "partial 16S ribosomal RNA". It matches the Rfam family "Bacterial small subunit ribosomal RNA", at positions 338 to 795 of the family's 1533-position model. The record is from RNAcentral. Lineage: Bacteria; Pseudomonadati; Pseudomonadota; Gammaproteobacteria; Oceanospirillales; Halomonadaceae.